Molecule: ribosomal RNA, 253 nt
Filed under: uncultured bacterium
Lineage: Bacteria
Description: partial 16S ribosomal RNA
Rfam family: Bacterial small subunit ribosomal RNA
Source: RNAcentral
UACGUAGGGGGCGAGCGUUGUCCGGAUUUACUGGGCGUAAAGCGCGUGUAGGCGGGGGAUUAAGUUGGGUGUGAAAGCCCGGGGCUCAACCCCGGGAUGCCGCCCAAGACUGGUCUCCUUGAGGACGGAAGAGGGGAGUGGAAUUCCUGGUGUAGCGGUGAAAUGCGCAGAUAUCAGGAGGAACACCAAUUGCGAAGGCAGCUUGCUGGGACGUGACUGACGCUGAGACGCGAAAGCGUGGGGAGCAAACAGG